Molecule: ribosomal RNA, 181 nt
Filed under: Helicobacter pylori
Lineage: Bacteria; Pseudomonadati; Campylobacterota; Epsilonproteobacteria; Campylobacterales; Helicobacteraceae
Description: partial 23S ribosomal RNA
Rfam family: Bacterial large subunit ribosomal RNA
Source: RNAcentral
AUUGAAGCCCGAGUAAACGGCGGCCGUAACUAUAACGGUCCUAAGGUAGCGAAAUUCCUUGUCGGUUAAAUACCGACCUGCAUGAAUGGCGUAACGAGAUGGGAGCUGUCUCAACCAGAGAUUCAGUGAAAUUGUAGUGGAGGUGAAAAUUCCUCCUACCCGCGGCAAGACGGGAAGACCC